Molecule: ribosomal RNA, 253 nt
Filed under: uncultured bacterium
Lineage: Bacteria
Description: partial 16S ribosomal RNA
Rfam family: Bacterial small subunit ribosomal RNA
Source: RNAcentral
UACGUAGGUGGCAAGCGUUGUCCGGAAUUAUUGGGCGUAAAGCGCGCGCAGGCGGUCCUUUAAGUCUGAUGUGAAAGCCCACGGCUCAACCGUGGAGGGUCAUUGGAAACUGGGGGACUUGAGUGCAGGAGAGAAGAGUGGAAUUCCACGUGUAGCGGUGAAAUGCGUAGAGAUGUGGAGGAACACCAGUGGCGAAGGCGACUCUCUGGGCUGUAACUGACGCUGAGGCGCGAAAGCGUGGGGAGCAAACAGG